UACGUAGGGAGCGAGCGUUGUCCGGAUUUAUUGGGCGUAAAGAGCUCGUAGGCGGUCUGUCGCGUCGGCUGUGAAAACCCGGAGCUCAACUCCGGGCCUGCAGUCGAUACGGGCAGACUGGAGUUCGGCAGGGGAGACUGGAAUUCCUGGUGUAGCGGUGAAAUGCGCAGAUAUCAGGAGGAACACCGGUGGCGAAGGCGGGUCUCUGGGCCGAUACUGACGCUGAGGAGCGAAAGCGUGGGGAGCGAACAGG
RNAcentral lists this ribosomal RNA (253 nucleotides) under uncultured bacterium. Its description in RNAcentral is "partial 16S ribosomal RNA". It matches the Rfam family "Bacterial small subunit ribosomal RNA", at positions 524 to 776 of the family's 1533-position model. The record is from RNAcentral.